AACGAACGCUGGCGGCAUGCCUAACACAUGCAAGUCGAACGAGACCUUCGGGUCUAGUGGCGCACGGGUGCGUAACGCGUGGGAACCUGCCCUUAGGUUCGGAAUAACUCCCCGAAAGGGGUGCUAAUACCGGAUAAUGUCUUCGGACCAAAGAUUUAUCGCCUUUGGUUGGGCCCGCGUUGGAUUAGCUAGUUGUUAGGGUAAAAGCCUACCAAGGCGACGAUCCAUAGCUGGUCUGAGAGGAUGAUCAGCCACACUGGGACUGAGACACGGCCCAGAAUCCUACGGGAGGCAGCAGUGGGGAAUAUUGGACAAUGGGCGAAAGCCUGAUCCAGCAAUGCCGCGUGAGUGAUGAAGGCCUUAGGGUUGUAAAGCUCUUUUACCCGGGAUGAUAAUGACAGUACCGGGAGAAUAAGCUCCGGCUAACUCCGUG
RNAcentral lists this ribosomal RNA (433 nucleotides) under uncultured bacterium. RNAcentral's name for it is "partial 16S ribosomal RNA". It matches the Rfam family "Bacterial small subunit ribosomal RNA", at positions 29 to 507 of the family's 1533-position model. The record is from RNAcentral.